CCUCCCCUACGGGAGGCAGCAGUGAGGAAUAUUGGUCAAUGGGAGAGAUCCUGAACCAGCCAAGCCGCGUGAGGGAAGACGGCCCUAUGGGUUGUAAACCUCUUUUGUCGGAGAACAAAACCCGGGACGUGUCCCGGACUGCGUGUAUCCGAAGAAAAAGCAUCGGCUAACUACGUGCCAGCAGCCGCGGUAAUACGUAGGUGGCGAGCGUUAUCCGGAAUGAUUGAGCGUAAAGGGUGCGUAGGCGGCCUGCUAAGUCUGGAGUGAAAGGAACCGGCUCAACCGUGACAGGCUCUGGAAACUGG
RNAcentral lists this ribosomal RNA (305 nucleotides) under uncultured bacterium. RNAcentral describes it as "bacterial SSU rRNA". It matches the Rfam family "Bacterial small subunit ribosomal RNA", at positions 333 to 636 of the family's 1533-position model. The record is from RNAcentral.